GGGAGUAUAACUCGGUGGUAGAGUGUGUGCUUAGCAUGCAUGAGGUCCUGGGUUCAAUCCCCAGUACCUCCA
Camelus ferus (Wild Bactrian camel) is the source of this 72-nucleotide transfer RNA. It matches the Rfam family "tRNA". From Rfam's summary of the family: Transfer RNA (tRNA) molecules are approximately 80 nucleotides in length. Their secondary structure includes four short double-helical elements and three loops (D, anti-codon, and T loops). The record is from Rfam. Lineage: Eukaryota; Metazoa; Chordata; Mammalia; Artiodactyla; Camelidae.